This 169-nucleotide microRNA precursor is filed under the name Hordeum vulgare. RNAcentral's name for it is "microRNA MIR2118". It matches the Rfam family "MIR2118 microRNA precursor family". The record is from RNAcentral. Lineage: Eukaryota; Viridiplantae; Streptophyta; Magnoliopsida; Poales; Poaceae.
GCCGGGGAGAGGAAAAAUAUGAGCAUCUAAGGACAUGGGACAUGGGAAGAUGGAGCAAGGCCUAAACUCAUUUCUCCCUCUACAACUAGGGUGCAAUCUUUGUUUCGCAAUUUUAUCGAUGCUUCCCAUGCCUUUUGUUCUUAGGUACUCCUUCCUCUCCCUUGUAAUG